GAUGAACGCUGGCGGCGUGCCUAAUACAUGCCAGUCGAGCGAACGGACGAGAAGCUUGCUUUUCUGAUGUUAGCGGCGGACGGGUGAGUAACACGUGGAUAACCUACCUAUAAGACUGGGAUAACUUCGGGAAACCGGAGCUAAUACCGGAUAAUAUUUUGAACCGCAUGGUUCAAAAGUGAAAGACGGUCUUGCUGUCACUUAUAGAUGGAUCCGCGCUGCAUUAGCUAGUUGGUAAGGUAACGGCUUACCAAGGCAACGAUGCAUAGCCGACCUGAGAGGGUGGUCGGCCACACUGGAACCUAGACACGGUCCAGACUCCUACGGGAAGGAGCAGUAGGGAAUCUUCCGCAAUGGGCGAAAGCCUGACGGAACAACGCCGGGUGGAGGAUGAAGGUCUUCGGGUCGGAAAACUCUGUUAUUAGGGAAGAACAUAUGUGUAAGUAACUGUGCACAUCUUGACGGUACCUAAUCAGAAAGCCACGGCUAACUACGUG
Molecule: ribosomal RNA, 497 nt
Filed under: uncultured bacterium
Lineage: Bacteria
Description: partial 16S ribosomal RNA
Rfam family: Bacterial small subunit ribosomal RNA
Source: RNAcentral